CCUGUGCAUCGCUCCACCGCUCCCGGUCGCAAGGCCGGGGGAGGAAAGUCCGGGCAGCGUAGGGCACCAUGCUUCCUAACGGGAAGGGGCCGCACUGGGAACGGUGCGGCCACGGAAAGUGCCGCAGAAAGGGAGACCGCCGAACCGCAGCGAUGCGGUGGCAAGGGUGAAAAGGUGAGGUAAGAGCUCACCAGUGCCGGUGGCGACAUCGGCAGCUUGGUAAACCCCAUGGGCUGCAAGACCAAAUAGGCCGGGAGGUCGGCGUGCCGCAAGGUGCGUUGGCAAAGGGUGGUCCGCCCUUUCCCGGCGGGUAGGUCGCUCGAGCCUGUCGGCGACGGCAGGUCCAGAUAGAUGGUGGAGACCCCGCAAGGGGGACAGGACCCGGCUUACAGAUGCACAGGACCU
RNAcentral lists this RNase P RNA (405 nucleotides) under Flavobacteriales bacterium. RNAcentral describes it as "RNase P RNA component class A". It matches the Rfam family "Bacterial RNase P class A". From Rfam's summary of the family: Ribonuclease P (RNase P) is a ubiquitous endoribonuclease, found in archaea, bacteria and eukarya as well as chloroplasts and mitochondria. Its best characterised activity is the generation of mature 5'-ends of tRNAs by cleaving the 5'-leader elements of precursor-tRNAs. Lineage: Bacteria; Pseudomonadati; Bacteroidota; Flavobacteriia; Flavobacteriales. The record is from RNAcentral.